UCGGGAAUAUUGCGCAAUGGAGGAAACUCUGACGCAGUGACGCCGCGUAUAGGAAGAAGGUUUUCGGAUUGUAAACUAUUGUCGUUAGGGAAGAUAAAAGACUGUACCUAAGGAGGAAGCCCCGGCUAACUAUGUGCCAGCAGCCGCGGUAAUACAUAGGGGGCAAGCGUUAUCCGGAAUUAUUGGGUGUAAAGGGUGCGUAGACGGAAGAACAAGUUGGUUGUGAAAUCCCUCGGCUCAACUGAGGAACUGCAACCAAAACUAUUCUCCUUGAGUGUCGGAGAGGAAAGUGGAAUUCCUAGUGUAGCGGUGAAAUGCGUAGAUAUUAGGAGGAACACCAGUGGCGAAGGCGACUUUCUGGACGAUAACUGACGUUGAGGCACGAAAGUGUGGGGAGCAAACAGG
Molecule: ribosomal RNA, 405 nt
Filed under: uncultured Clostridium sp.
Lineage: Bacteria; Bacillati; Bacillota; Clostridia; Eubacteriales; Clostridiaceae
Also listed under: 2 other names
Description: bacterial SSU rRNA
Rfam family: Bacterial small subunit ribosomal RNA
Source: RNAcentral